AUAAUUGCCCACAGCGAAUCACAAUUUUAAUAUUUAAUCUAAUCUAAUCUAAUCUAAUAUUUACUUUUGAUUUGCUCCGAUUUAACUAUUGUGUUAUAAAGGGAAUAGUCCACAUUUAUAAAGUGCCCACGCCACCAUUGAAAAAGUUAAUUUUGAAUCUAAAUUCGAUUUUAUUUGUAACAAUUUUGUAUUAAACUAUUAAUUUGUUCAUGAUAGUUUGUAAAAGAAGUUUGUAUUCCUUGCAUGUUACGUUACUUACUAAUUUAAUGUAUGUGACUUUUGUAAUAGAUAUUAAUGUAAGAUAUAUUUCGAACUUUACUUUUAUUUGAAUUUUUUAUUUUAAUAUGAUUAACUCAAAAUUAAAAAAAAAAUGUAUUAGUUAUUCGGGGAUCGGGGAUCCCCUGUUAUUAUUCGGGGAGGAGAUGGAGAUUCUCUCAAGUAAUUCUGACGGAGACGGUGAGGGGACGGGGACAUACGCAAAAUAUCGGGGAUGGGUACGGGGAGAUCGGUCCCCUCCCCUCCCCAUUGCCAUCCCUGAUCAUAACUCAUGUAGUUGAUUUUAUUAUUAUUGAAUUUAGUCUGUUAAAUCUAUUAAAAUAACCUCCAUCAAAUUAUAAACCCAUAAAACUUCAAUCUUUUUCAUACUGUCAUUAUGUAAUUUUGUUUUUAUGAGGUUUAGCUCCGACAAAUCAUUUUUCUGAAUCCGCUGUUGCUGUUUGUUAUGCUAUUGUGGGCUGCUCUCUUUUCUCAUGUAUGGUUUUCUGUUUGCUUAGCAUUCUUUAUUUGCUUGGUGUCGUCAGGAACUCAGGAUCCUUUACUUCUGGCUUUAUGGUGCGGCAUUGUUUGGGACUGUACUGCCUUUUGCUUUGCGGUGGUUGGUCUUUCGUUGGACUAUUUGACAGCAUGGUUUGGGUUUUACGUUUUAAAUUUCAAAAGUCUAUUUAUAUAUUUUCAUUAUUUUGGUUAUCUCUUUGUUUGUUGUUUCUUUUAAUUGCUCCUCGGCCUGUCUCUAGUUAUAUGCUUCUUUUGAGAUUUGUGUCCUUCUGGUUCUGCCAUUUUCUAUAACUUUUUCUUAUAAAAUUCCACCAAAUUUCAUUUUUAAAAAUACUAAGA
RNAcentral lists this long non-coding RNA (1113 nucleotides) under Citrus x clementina. Its description in RNAcentral is "Citrus clementina (C. clementina) long non-coding RNA (CCLE_LNC002611)". The record is from RNAcentral. Lineage: Eukaryota; Viridiplantae; Streptophyta; Magnoliopsida; Sapindales; Rutaceae.